This 95-nucleotide ribosomal RNA is filed under the name Acinetobacter baumannii. Its description in RNAcentral is "partial 16S ribosomal RNA". It matches the Rfam family "Bacterial small subunit ribosomal RNA", at positions 1 to 92 of the family's 1533-position model. The record is from RNAcentral. Lineage: Bacteria; Pseudomonadati; Pseudomonadota; Gammaproteobacteria; Moraxellales; Moraxellaceae.
UUUAACUGAAGAGUUUGAUCAUGGCUCAGAUUGAACGCUGGCGGCAGGCUUAACACAUGCAAGUCGAGCGGGGGAAGGUAGCUUGCUACUGGACC